This 277-nucleotide unclassified non-coding RNA is filed under the name uncultured Eurotiomycetes. Its description in RNAcentral is "sequence contains ITS2". The stretch from base 1 to 52 matches the Rfam family "5.8S ribosomal RNA", at positions 103 to 154 of the family's 154-position model. The record is from RNAcentral. Lineage: Eukaryota; Fungi; Ascomycota; Eurotiomycetes.
AACGCAUAUUGCGCCCUCUGGUAUUCCGGGGGGCAUGCCUGUCCGAGCGUCAUUUCAACCCUCAAGCACGGCUUGUGUGUUGGGUCAUAUCGUCCCUCCGUGGACGGGCCCGAAAGGCAGUGGCGGCGUCGUGUUCCGGUGCCCGAGCGUAUGGGGAUCUUUUUCACCCGCUCGGAGGCACGGCCGGCGUCCAGCCGACAACCAUCUUAACUGGAGGACCCUCGCGGGAACUCGACUGGUUGACCUCGGAUCAGGUAGGGAUACCCGCUGAACUUAA